AAGACUAUACUUUCAGGGAUCAUUUCUAUAGUUCGUCACUAGAGAAGUUUCUCUGACUGUGUAGAGCACCCGAAACCACGAGGAGGAGGUGCAGCGCUGUCUCCUGAGCGUGAAACCGGCCUUUAGUGUUGCUUCCUGCAACUGCUUCUGGCCAUUGAUGAUCGUUCCCGAUUCUCGCUGAGAAUGGGGAGGGAGAGAGCGCAGUCUGAGUGGU
Molecule: small nucleolar RNA, 214 nt
Organism: Grammomys surdaster
Lineage: Eukaryota; Metazoa; Chordata; Mammalia; Rodentia; Muridae
Product: small nucleolar RNA U3
Exons: 1
Source: RefSeq, a predicted model, not a curated record